GCAUCCAGCAUCUUCCUCUUUCCUUCUUGUCCCCAGUCUGUAACAUACAUUAGGAUUUUUCUUAAUGGAAAUGUGUUUGGACUACAUGUUCAGUGGCCAUACAUCUGGAUUUUCAGGGCAGCUGAGUGACUGAAUGCAGAAGAAAAGCAAAACACCACUCUUUGGAAGCUGAAUGAUUGCCUGCUCAUGUCUUAUACCACUUCUACAUAAAAUGACCAGUGUCCUCCCCUGG
RNAcentral lists this long non-coding RNA (232 nucleotides) under Ficedula albicollis (Collared flycatcher). RNAcentral's name for it is "lncRNA (ENSFALG00000025764.1)". Lineage: Eukaryota; Metazoa; Chordata; Aves; Passeriformes; Muscicapidae. The record is from RNAcentral.